Molecule: transfer RNA, 65 nt
Filed under: Longivalvus hyalospilus
Lineage: Eukaryota; Metazoa; Arthropoda; Insecta; Psocodea; Psocidae
Description: tRNA-Leu
Source: RNAcentral
UCAUUUUGGCAGAUUAAGUGCAUUGAAUUUAGAAUUCAAAUAUAAAAUUAAUAUUUUAAAUGAUA